RNAcentral lists this ribosomal RNA (546 nucleotides) under uncultured archaeon. RNAcentral describes it as "bacterial SSU rRNA". It matches the Rfam family "Archaeal small subunit ribosomal RNA", at positions 302 to 828 of the family's 1478-position model. The record is from RNAcentral.
GNNCGCCGCGCCCCGCGCCCGUCCCGCCGCCCCCGCCCGACGGGGUGCAGCAGGCGCGAAACCUUUACACUGCACGACAGUGCGAUAGGGGGAUCCCAAGUGCACAGGCAUAGCGCCUGUGCUUUUNGGUACCCUAAGGCGGUACCAGAAUAAGGGCUGGGCAAGACCGGUGCCAGCCGCCGCGGUAAUACCGGCAGCCCAAGUGAUGGCCGAUCUUAUUGGGCCUAAAGCGUCCGUAGCUGGCCGCGCAAGUCCAUCGGGAAAUCCACCUGCUCAACAGGUGGGCGCCCGGUAGAAACUGCGUGGCUUGGGACCGGAAGGCGCGACGGGUACGUCCGGGGUAGGAGUGAAAUCCCGUAAUCCUGGACGGACCGCCGAUGGCGAAAGCACGUCGCGAGAACGGAUCCGACAGUGAGGGACGAAAGCCAGGGUCUCGAACCGGAUUAGAUACCCGGGUAGUCCUGGCCGUAAACAAUGUCUGCUAGGUGUGGCUCCCACUACGAGUGGGUGCUGUGCCGUAGGGAAGCCGCUAAGCAGACCGCNGNU